AUUGAACGCUGGCGGCAGGCCUAACACAUGCAAGUCGAGCGAGCGGCGGACGGGUGAGUCCUGUCUGGGAAACUGCCUGAUGGAGGGGGAUAACUACUGGAAACGGUAGUUAAUACCGCAUACCAUCAGAUGUGCCUAGAUGGGAUUAGCUAGUAGGUGGGGUAACGGCUCACCUAGGCGACGAUCCCUAGCUGGUCUGGGAGGAUGACCAGCCACACUGGAACUGAGACACGGUCCAGACUCCUACGGGAGGCAGCAGUGGGGAAUAUUGCACAAUGGGCGCAAGCCUGAUACAGCCAUGCCGCGUGUGUGAAGAAGGCCUUCGGGUUGUAAAGCACUUUCAGCGGGGAGGCGUUACCCGCAGAAGAAGCACCGGCUAACUCCGUGCCAGCAGCCGCGGUAAUUC
RNAcentral lists this ribosomal RNA (406 nucleotides) under uncultured bacterium. Its description in RNAcentral is "partial 16S ribosomal RNA". It matches the Rfam family "Bacterial small subunit ribosomal RNA", at positions 30 to 526 of the family's 1533-position model. The record is from RNAcentral.